GACGAACGCUGGCGGCGUGCUUAACACAUGCAAGUCGAACGGAAAGGCCCUGCUUUUGUGGGGUGCUCGAGUAGCGAACGGGUGAUUAACACGUGAGUAACCUGCCCUUGACUUUGGGAUAACUUCAGGAAACUGGGGCUAAUAUCGGAUAUGAGCUCCUGCUGCAUGGUGGGGGUUGGAAAGUUUCGGCGGUUGGGGAUGGACUCGCGGCUUAUCAGCUUGUUGGUUGGGUAGUGGCUUACCAAGGCUUUGACGGGUAGCCGGCCUGAGAGGGUGACCGGCGACAUUGGGACUGAGAUAGGGCCCAGACUCCUACGGGAGGCAGCAGUGGGGAAUAUGUCACAAUGGGCGGAAGCGUGAUACAGCAACGCCGAGUGCGGGAUGACGGCCUUCGGGUUGUGAACCGCUUUCGCCUAUGACGAAGCGUGAGUGACGGUAAUGGGUAAAGAAGCACCGGCUAACUACGUG
RNAcentral lists this ribosomal RNA (468 nucleotides) under uncultured bacterium. RNAcentral's name for it is "partial 16S ribosomal RNA". It matches the Rfam family "Bacterial small subunit ribosomal RNA", at positions 28 to 507 of the family's 1533-position model. The record is from RNAcentral.